Molecule: long non-coding RNA, 212 nt
Organism: Antechinus flavipes (yellow-footed antechinus)
Lineage: Eukaryota; Metazoa; Chordata; Mammalia; Dasyuromorphia; Dasyuridae
Exons: 2
Source: RefSeq, a predicted model, not a curated record
CCCCACCUCUCACUCCAGUCCUCACUGCCUGUGGUGAAGCUAAUCUCUCCCAUCUCUCACUACAGCAUUAACAGCCUGAAGGAGAUCUGUGACUUCUUUCUGGCUGUGAGUGACAACUGGCAUCCAACACUCAUAAGACAAACUGAAUAAAUGAUACAAAUUGGAAAAAAAAUAAUAUUAAGUGCAAAAGAAGAAUAAAUGAUAGGUCAGAA